RNAcentral lists this transfer RNA (69 nucleotides) under Epiphragma mediale. Its description in RNAcentral is "tRNA-Cys". Lineage: Eukaryota; Metazoa; Arthropoda; Insecta; Diptera; Limoniidae. The record is from RNAcentral.
GGCUUUAUAGUCAUUUAUUAAAUGAUAUUAGACUGCAAUUCUAAAGGAGUAACAAAUUUACUAAAGCUU